This is a long non-coding RNA of Manis pentadactyla (Chinese pangolin), 828 nucleotides long. RefSeq lists it as uncharacterized. NCBI's taxonomy places the organism in Eukaryota, Metazoa, Chordata, Mammalia, Pholidota, Manidae. The transcript is spliced from 3 exons. The record is from RefSeq and is a predicted model, not a curated record.
UCUGAAUGAUGGAAUAGAUGAAGUCCAUGUUGGUGAACCCACUUUCUUAGCAAUCUUAAUAAGAAUUAGGGAAAACCAUCCAAACCCAGAAGAGCUGGAAGAUGUUCAAGUGAAGGAGUGAAAACAAAUGCCCUCGCUGCCCCGUCCUGGCUGAGCUGUGUUUCACACCGAGCUCCCUAGGAAACCCGUUGCUGGUGUUUCUGGAUGAGCCAACCAUGGAGAUGGACCCCGCAGGGCAGCAGCAGAUAUUUGGAGGGUCAUAUUAAGUAUCAGAGUCAAAACUGUAAGUCUAGUUAUUUAUUUACUUUUUUACAUUUGCUCCAUUAACCUUUGAGGAUCACAUCCUCUAUUAUUUAAUUCAGUGAAACUCAAUAUAGUAUUCAAAAUUCCUCAAGGAAGAAAAAAAUAAACAUUUUUAAGAAUCAGAUAGACUCUUGGAUGUAUUGGACUGAACUUUGUUUCUCUUAAUCCUCUUCCCUACUUCUUUCUUCAAUUUUUCCGUUACUGAAAAUCCUACAAUGUGGUUUCUCUAUAUCCCAACUUAUGUUACUUUGAAAAAAAAACAUUUUACUAUUUCCCAAUCUACUUUUCAUUCUAUGAAGCCAAGUAGUGUGGUAAUAUAAUUACAUAAUUCAGUACAAUUUCUAUUCUUUCUCUCUAGAGCAAAGAUUUUUUUCUUGCAACUUAGUUUAAAAUUUUAUAUUCAGUCAUUAUUCCCAUUCAUCUAUUUUCCUAAGUAACUUUCUAAAUGUAAACAAUCCCUUACUUUACCUUUAGGCAGGCAAUUCAGACCAUUGUUAAAAACACGGAGAGGGGCGCCCUCCUGGC